This 392-nucleotide ribosomal RNA is filed under the name uncultured Gammaproteobacteria bacterium. RNAcentral describes it as "bacterial SSU rRNA". It matches the Rfam family "Bacterial small subunit ribosomal RNA", at positions 370 to 779 of the family's 1533-position model. Lineage: Bacteria; Pseudomonadati; Pseudomonadota; Gammaproteobacteria. The record is from RNAcentral.
AAUGGGGGAAACCCUGAUCUAGCCAUGCCGCGUGAGUGACGAAGGCCCUAGGGUCGUAAAGCUCUUUCAACUGUGAAGAUAAUGACGGUAGCAGUAGAAGAAACCCCGGCUAACUCCGUGCCAGCAGCCGCGGUAAUACGGAGGGGGUUAGCGUUGUUCGGAAUUACUGGGCGUAAAGCGCGCGUAGGCGGACUAUUAAGUCGAGGGUGAAAUCCCGGGGCUCAACCCCGGAACUGCCUUCGAUACUGGUAGUCUUGAGUUCGAGAGAGGUGAGUGGAAUUCCGAGUGUAGAGGUGAAAUUCGUAGAUAUUCGGAGGAACACCAGUGGCGAAGGCGGCUCACUGGCUCGAUACUGACGCUGAGGUGCGAAAGUGUGGGGAGCAAACAGGGUU